GUAGGGGGCAAGCGUUAUCCGGAUUUACUGGGUGUAAAGGGAGCGUAGACGGUAUGGCAAGUCUGAAGUGAAAGCCCCGGGCUCAACCUGGGAAUUGCUUUGGAAACUGUUAAACUAGAGUGCUGGAGAGGCAGGCGGAAUUCCUAGUGUAGCGGUGAAAUGCGUAGAUAUUAGGAGGAACACCAGUGGCGAAGGCGGCCUGCUGGACAGUAACUGACGUUGAGGCUCGAAAGCGUGGGGAGCAAA
RNAcentral lists this ribosomal RNA (246 nucleotides) under uncultured bacterium. RNAcentral describes it as "partial 16S ribosomal RNA". It matches the Rfam family "Bacterial small subunit ribosomal RNA", at positions 527 to 772 of the family's 1533-position model. The record is from RNAcentral.